GACCAGACUCCUACGGGAGGCAGCAGUGGGGGAUAUUGGACAAUGGGGGAAACCCUGAUCCAGCGACACCGCGUGAGUGAAGAAGUAUUUCGGUAUGUAAAGCUCUAUCAGCAGGGAAGAUAAUGACGGUACCUGAGUAAGAAGCCCCGGCUAACUACGUGCCAGCAGCCGCGGUAAUACGUAGGGGGCAAGCGUUAUCCGGAUUUACUGGGUGUAAAGGGAGCGUAGACGGCAUGGCAAGUCUGAAGUGAAAGCCCGGGGCUCAACCGCGGGACUGCUUUGGAAACUGUUAAGCUGGAGUGCAGGAGAGGUAAGUGGAAUUCCUAGUGUAGCGGUGAAAUGCGUAGAUAUUAGGAGGAACACCAGUGGCGAAGGCGGCUUACUGGACUGUAACUGACGUUGAGGCUCGAAAGCGUGGGGAGCAAACAGGAUUAGAUACCCUUGUA
This 446-nucleotide ribosomal RNA is filed under the name uncultured bacterium. RNAcentral's name for it is "bacterial SSU rRNA". It matches the Rfam family "Bacterial small subunit ribosomal RNA", at positions 329 to 792 of the family's 1533-position model. The record is from RNAcentral.